CGAAGCGGGAAGAGCUCAAAUUUAUAAUCUGGCACCUUCGGUGUCCGAGUUGUAAUCUCUAGAAAUGUUUUCCGCGUUGGACCGCACACAAGUCUGUUGGAAUACAGCGGCAUAGUGGUGAGACCCCCGUAUAUGGUGCGGACGCCCAGCGCUUUGUGAUACAUUUUCGAAGAGUCGAGUUGUUUGGGAAUGCAGCUCAAAUUGGGUGGUAAAUUCCAUCUAAAGCUAAAUAUUGGCGAGAGACCGAUAGCGAACAAGUACCGUGAGGGAAAGAUGAAAAGCACUUUGGAAAGAGAGUUAACAGUACGUGAAAUUGUUGGAAGGGAAACGCUUGAAGUCAGACUUGCUUGCCGAGCAAUCGGUUUGCAGGCCAGCAUCAGUUUUCCGGGAUGGAUAAUGGUAGAGAGAAGGUAGCAGUUUCGGCUGUGUUAUAGCUCUCUGCUGGAUACAUCUUGGGGGACUGAGGAACGCAGUGUGCCUUUUGGCGGGGGUUUCGACCUCUUCACACUUAGGAUGCUGGUGGAAUGGCUUUAAACGACCCGUCUCA
RNAcentral lists this ribosomal RNA (547 nucleotides) under Rhodotorula mucilaginosa. Its description in RNAcentral is "partial large subunit ribosomal RNA". It matches the Rfam family "Eukaryotic large subunit ribosomal RNA", at positions 94 to 656 of the family's 3401-position model. The record is from RNAcentral. Lineage: Eukaryota; Fungi; Basidiomycota; Microbotryomycetes; Sporidiobolales; Sporidiobolaceae.